AGAACGAACGCUGGCGGCAUGCCUAACACAUGCAAGUCGAACGAUGCUUUCGGGCAUAGUGGCGCACGGGUGCGUAACGCGUGGGAAUCUGCCCUUGGGUUCGGAAUAACAGUGGGAAACUACUGCUAAUACCGGAUGAUGACGUAAGUCCAAAAGAUUUAUCGCCCAGGGAUGAGCCCGCGUAGGAUUAGCUAGUUGGUGAGGUAAUGGCUCACCAAGGCGACGAUCCUUAGCUGGUCUGAGAGGAUGAUCAGCCCACACUGGGACUGAGACACGGCCCAGACUCCUACGGGAGGCAGCAGUGGGGAAUAUUGGACAAUGGGCGCAAGCCUGAUCCAGCAAUGCCGCGUGAGUGAUGAAGGCCUUAGGGUUGUAAAGCUCUUUACCAGGGAUGAUAAUGACAGUACCUGGAGAAUAAGCUCCGGCUAACUCCGCGCCAGCAGCCGCGUAA
This 451-nucleotide ribosomal RNA is filed under the name uncultured bacterium. RNAcentral describes it as "SSU rRNA". It matches the Rfam family "Bacterial small subunit ribosomal RNA", at positions 26 to 522 of the family's 1533-position model. The record is from RNAcentral.